RNAcentral lists this long non-coding RNA (519 nucleotides) under Salvia miltiorrhiza (redroot sage). Its description in RNAcentral is "long non-coding RNA (SMIL_LNC007704)". The record is from RNAcentral. Lineage: Eukaryota; Viridiplantae; Streptophyta; Magnoliopsida; Lamiales; Lamiaceae.
CCCAAGCACGUUCAUGACCAAAUAGGAUAAAUAAAUAGUUAAAUUUAGCCCAAAAGCCCACAAGCCCACUAUCAAACCCUAGCUUAUUUACUAACCCACGCAGCCCUUAUCCCACACAUACACAUAUUAGGAUUUCCACCUAAUCUGCGCAACAUACCCAGAAUUAGGGUUUUCAGAAGGCGGCGCAGGUCGGCGGCGGUCCAGACGGCGUCGGCGCCAUCGCGACGGCGGUGAAGGAGGCGCUCCGAUGGUGCGACGAGAUUGGAUGAUUUAGAGUUUAGGAAAUGGUAGAAAUUGAGAGAGAUGAAAUUUUUUCAUGUAAGUCUGAGUUCUAUGGUUUUUUUUUUAAAUACGUACUGAAAACGUAUUAAAUACGUAUUUCCCAAUCCUAAAAUUAUUUUUUUUAAAUACGAAAAAAAAACAUAUUAAAUACGUCUUUUAGGCGUAUUUUUAACGUCUUGGUAUUUUUUGGUAUUAAUACCAGGACGCUUCACCCAGAAACGUACCGGUGCUUCCUAG